Molecule: long non-coding RNA, 356 nt
Filed under: Chinchilla lanigera (long-tailed chinchilla)
Lineage: Eukaryota; Metazoa; Chordata; Mammalia; Rodentia; Chinchillidae
Description: lncRNA (ENSCLAG00000027063.1)
Source: RNAcentral
CGUGAACUCACAAGAGGGCUGAGGCGGCCCGGCUCCGCGGAUGUGGGGGUGGGGACGCAGAAACAGGUCCGCAGGGCUGCUGCUUGGGCUUAGAAGACAUUGCAGGGCCUCUCAGAUCACCGCCCGCGGGGUCCAGGGCAGAGCAAACGCAACGGACUGCACCUGUCUCCGCCAAACUCCCCCCGAAUCCCAAUCUGUCUGGAAAGUGAAAGUCCUAAAAAAGAGGAUGGUGAAAGAAAGUCCUCACCAGAAGCCAGUAGCAGUCUAUUGGACUUUGCAGCCUCCACAAAUGUGAGCCAAAUAAACUUUGACUGUUUAUAAAUUAUGCAGUCUGUGGUAUGCUGUGAUAGCAGCAG